RNAcentral lists this unclassified non-coding RNA (1096 nucleotides) under Hevea brasiliensis (rubber tree). Lineage: Eukaryota; Viridiplantae; Streptophyta; Magnoliopsida; Malpighiales; Euphorbiaceae. The record is from RNAcentral.
GGACGCUCCAUGCACCAUAUUUCAUACGUUAACAAUGCAAUUCAACCUUCAAACAAUAGUUAGAGAAAAAAAAUGUUCUAACAACAAAAUUCAGNNNNNNUCAGAUUUUUGCCUAGAAAUGGAGAUAAUGCACAAAAAGGAUCUAUCUUUCUCAAAUACUUUAGGUGGGUACAACAGCCCCAGAAUGGGGUGACAUCUGCAAAACUAAUAACCAAAAGACCAACAUAAGCAAACUCAACUGGAUAAAGAAACAUGAAGUAACCUUACAUACUCUCCUCUGCAUCUUCAACACCUCUUCAGUCCCUAAAAUAUCUCUGCAAUAUGUUUCCACCUCCUCCGCUUGUUUCUUAAGCAUUGAGGCCUUCCUCUCUGCCUCCCCAAGCUUGUUCAGCAUUUGUGCUUGCUCACCAGAUAAGGCUUCCUGUUGUUCAAAGAGAGUGAGCUGAUCACUGGCAGCAACUCUCAACUUCUGCACCAUCAUCGACAGGGUUAAAUACUCAACCUCAGCCUCAAUCUUUUGCUUGAAUAGACCCUCAAGCUCAGUUUCAAUCUCUCUAGAUUUCUCAUGCUGCAACUCCAUGGUGUUUCCUGAUUCUUCUGUUGGUGACUUGCCACUAAUCAAGGUAUUUUCGAGUUCUACAAUCCUGGACUCCUUUACAUUAAGCAUUGUGUUUGCCUCCUCCAGUUUGGUUUCCAAAUAUUUUACAUUUUCUGUCAAGCUUAACACUUGAGAUUCUAAGGAACUUGAUCGUCUGAUCUUUUCAGAAUCAAACUGGUCAGAUGAGCUUGACUCAUGGAUUCCCCUGUCAGCUGAAGUGGAAUCUAGUGGAACACUGCUAAUCUUCCCAAUUUCCUCAAAUUUUCGAACCUCACUUUCAAGGACUUCCUGCACUGUUUGGAGGAUAAUAAGAGACUCAACCAAAGGAUCGUGAUCUGUAGUGGGCUGAUGGUUCUCACUUUUCUCUUCCUUAUCCUCCCAAGAAGCAUCUGCAGCUAAAUCAUCUUGUGAAGCAUUUUUAACUUCUCCCACAUUCUCUUGGCCAUAAACAGUCUGAACUUCUUCACUGAACUGUUGCUCACCUGCAUGGCCAUCAUC